This 71-nucleotide transfer RNA is filed under the name Demequina muriae. RNAcentral describes it as "tRNA-Val". The record is from RNAcentral. Lineage: Bacteria; Bacillati; Actinomycetota; Actinomycetes; Micrococcales; Demequinaceae.
GGCGAACAGUGGCGGAUCGGAGGUCAUUCCUUCACACGGAAGAGGUCGCUGGUUCGAACCCAGUAUCGCCC